Molecule: ribosomal RNA, 253 nt
Filed under: uncultured bacterium
Lineage: Bacteria
Description: partial 16S ribosomal RNA
Rfam family: Bacterial small subunit ribosomal RNA
Source: RNAcentral
UACGAAGGGGGCUAGCGUUGUUCGGAAUUACUGGGCGUAAAGGGCGCGUAGGCGGUGUGUCAAGUCAGGCGUGAAAGCCCCGGGCUCAACCUGGGAACAGCGCUUGAGACUGGCACGCUCGAGUUCGGGAGAGGAUGGUGGAAUUCCCAGUGUAGAGGUGAAAUUCGUAGAUAUUGGGAAGAACACCGAUGGCGAAGGCAGCCAUCUGGACCGACACUGACGCUGAGGCGCGAAAGCGUGGGGAGCAAACGGG